CGGACAUAGCUGGAAGAAAGUAAGAGUCCAUUCCAUUUAAUUGUCUUGUUCUUUUAUUUUUCUAUAUUGAGAGAUUCGGGCUUCGUCUUUUUAUACUCUCUACACCAGAUUUUUUUUUUUUUGGGGCCAAAACAUAACCUGUAUUUGAAAGAAACAACAGAUAUAAUCUCGUUUUUGAUUUAUCAUCGAUAGAUGGUGAUAAGUUUAAAAUAGUUAUGUUUCUGGUGUGAUCGUUUUUGUUAUGUGAAGUGUUCCUAAUACCAAAACUUG
RNAcentral lists this long non-coding RNA (270 nucleotides) under Capsella rubella. RNAcentral describes it as "long non-coding RNA (CRUB_LNC003449)". The record is from RNAcentral. Lineage: Eukaryota; Viridiplantae; Streptophyta; Magnoliopsida; Brassicales; Brassicaceae.